This is a long non-coding RNA of Juglans microcarpa x Juglans regia, 509 nucleotides long. RefSeq lists it as uncharacterized. The record is from RefSeq and is a predicted model, not a curated record. NCBI's taxonomy places the organism in Eukaryota, Viridiplantae, Streptophyta, Magnoliopsida, Fagales, Juglandaceae. The transcript is spliced from 2 exons.
UUGUAGCUUUUGCAUCUAAAAUAGUUGUCUCAUAGUAUGGAAAACCACUGAUAACAUAUUCAUUUGCCGAUCUUAAACUAAGUUGGAGAAAAUCAUUUUGGGAAAUUGAAGACAAGGAAGUAAAGCAGAAUUCUUGAACAAGUUGAGAAGUACUCCAAUUCUGUUCUGACCAACCAAGUGAAUGAAGAACGGGAAAGUCAAAAUAGAGCUACCACCAAGAAGGCUAUCGGUCUCAUAGAGUGGAUGAGUAAAUCAAAGUGGGCAUUAUGUACACUCUCACGUAUGUUUCUAACCUGUUAAAUAUUUAGUUAGGACAGGUGAUCUUGACUGCUCCCACAAUUGAGUUUCAUUCUCUCUCCCCCCCCCCCCCCCCCCCCCCCCGCGGGCGGGGGGAGAUUUUUCUCUAUUCUUUAUUUAUUUAUUCAUUCUUUAUUCAUUAUUUCCCUUCUUUCUUUUUCUCUCCGAAAAUAGAAGAUAGGUUGGGAUGGCAUUGGGUUUACCCCUCAGAA